Molecule: long non-coding RNA, 243 nt
Filed under: Vitis vinifera (wine grape)
Lineage: Eukaryota; Viridiplantae; Streptophyta; Magnoliopsida; Vitales; Vitaceae
Description: long non-coding RNA (VVIN_LNC003502)
Source: RNAcentral
UCGUAGGAGAUAACUAAUGAACAUCAGUGGAUCUAACAAUAAGAAUCCACUGAGACCAAAAGGUUAUCAAGUAUUGUCCAUUCAAAGCAAGUCAAAUGGAUUAAAAGCUUUACUUUGAAUGAAAACAUUUAUGACGCUCAGCUACUUACAUUCAUGGCUUGGAAAUCUCCAUCCUGACACGGGAGCUUCACAUGGCAUCCAUUACUUCAAGAAACUAAAAGGUUUUAGCCUCUCAUCCUUGAG